Molecule: ribosomal RNA, 901 nt
Filed under: Sphaerulina westendorpii
Lineage: Eukaryota; Fungi; Ascomycota; Dothideomycetes; Mycosphaerellales; Mycosphaerellaceae
Also listed under: 6 other names
Description: LSU rRNA
Rfam family: Eukaryotic large subunit ribosomal RNA
Source: RNAcentral
UAAGCAUAUCAAUAAGCGGAGGAAAAGAAACCAACAGGGAUUGCCCUAGUAACGGCGAGUGAAGCGGCAACAGCUCAAAUUUGAAAUCUGGCGCAAGCCCGAGUUGUAAUUUGUAGAGGAUGCUUCUGGGUAGCGACCGAUCUAAGUUCCUUGGAACAGGACGUCAUAGAGGGUGAGAAUCCCGUAUGUGACCGGCCCGCACCCUUUACGUAGCUCCUUCGACGAGUCGAGUUGUUUGGGAAUGCAGCUCUAAAUGGGAGGUAAAUUUCUUCUAAAGCUAAAUACCGGCCAGAGACCGAUAGCGCACAAGUAGAGUGAUCGAAAGAUGAAAAGUACUUUGGAAAGAGAGUUAAAAAGCACGUGAAAUUGUUGAAAGGGAAGCGCCUGCAACCAGACUUCGCGGCAGUGUUCCGCCGGUCUUCUGACCGGUUCAUUCUCUGUCGCGAGGCCAUCAUCGUCUGGGCCCGCCGGAUAAGACCUUAGGAAUGUAGCUCACCUUCGGGGGAGUGUUAUAGCCUAGGGUGAUGCGGCGAGGCUCGGGCGAGGUCCGCGCUUCGGCAAGGAUGAUGGCGUAAUGGUUGUCGGCGGCCCGUCUUGAAACACGGACCAAGGAGUCUAACAUCUAUGCGAGUGUUCGGGUGUCAAACCCCUACGCGUAAUGAAAGUGAACGGAGGUGGGAACCGCAAGGUGCACCAUCGACCGAUCCUGAUGUCCUCGGAUGGAUUUGAGUAAGAGCAUAGCUGUUGGGACCCGAAAGAUGGUGAACUAUGCCUGAAUAGGGUGAAGCCAGAGGAAACUCUGGUGGAGGCUCGCAGCGGUUCUGACGUGCAAAUCGAUCGUCAAAUUUGGGUAUAGGGGCGAAAGACUAAUCGAACCAUCUAGUAGCUGGUUCCUGCCGAA